GAGUUUGAUCAUGGCUCAGAACGAACGCUGGCGGCAUGCCUCAUACAUGCAAGUCGAACGAGAUCUUCGGAUCUAGUGGCGCACGGGUGAGUAACAUGUGGGAAUCUACCUAAAGGUUCGGAAUAACUGCGGGAAACUGUAGCUAAUACCGGAUGUGUCUGCAAAGAGAAAGAUUUAUCGCCUUUAGAUGAGCCCGCACUAGAUUAGCUAGUUGGUGAGGUAACUGCUCCACCAAGGCUACGAUCAAUAGCUGAUUUGAGAGGAUGAUCAGCCACAUUGGGACUGAGACACGGCCCAAACUCCUACGGGAGGCAGCAGUGGGGAAUCUUGCACAAUGGAGGAAACUCUGAUGCAGCGAUGCCGCGUGAGUGAAGAAGGCCCUUGGGUCGUAAAGCUCUUUCGUCGGGGAAGAAAAUGACUGUACCCGAAUAAGAAGGUCCGGCUAACUUCGUGCCAGCAGCCGCGGUAAUACGAAGGGACCUAGCGUAGUUCGGAAUUACUGGGCUUAAAGAGUUCGUAGGUGGUUGAAAAAGUUGGUGGUGAAAUCCCAGAGCUUAACUCUGGAACUGCCAUCAAAACUUUUCAGCUAGAGUAUGAUAGAGGAAAGCAGAAUUUCUAGUGUAGAGGUGAAAUUCGUAGAUAUUAGAAAGAAUACCAAUUGCGAAGGCAGCUUUCUGGAUCAUUACUGACACUGAGGAACGAAAGCAUGGGUAGCGAAGAGGAUUAGAUACCCUCGUAGUCCAUGCCGUAAACGAUGUGUGUUAGACGUUGGAAAUUUAUUUUCAGUGUCGCAGCGAAAGCGAUAAACACACCGCCUGGGGAGUACGACCGCAAGGUUAAAACUCAAAUGAAUUGACGGGGACCCGCACAAGUAGUGGAGCAUGUGGUUUAAUUCGAAGAUACGCGCAGAACCUUACCGACACUUGACAUGUUCGUCGCGACUCUAAGAGAUUAGAGUUUUCGGUUCGGCCGGACGAAACACAGGUGCUGCAUGGCUGUCGUCAGCUCGUGUCGUGAGAUGUUGGGUUAAGUCCCGCAACGAGCGCAACCCUCACUUUUAGUUGCCAUCAUUAAGUUGGGCACUCUGAAAGAACUGCCAGUGAUAAGCUGGAGGAAGGUGGGGAUGACGUCAAGUCCUCAUGGCCCUUACGUGUUGGGCUACACACGUGCUACAAUGGUAUCUACAACAGGAAGCAAAACUGCGAAGUUAAGCAAAUCCCUAAAAGAUACCUCAGUUCGGAUUGCACUCUGCAACUCGAGUGCAUGAAGCUGGAAUUACUAGUAAUCGUGGAUCAGCGUGCCACGGUGAAUGCGUUCCCGGGUCUUGUACACACCGCCCGUCACACCAUGGGAGUUGGUUCUACCUUAAGGCAAGGUUUCAAACCCUUGACCACGGUAUAGUCAGCGACUGGGGUGAAGUCGUAACAAGGUAACC
RNAcentral lists this ribosomal RNA (1435 nucleotides) under uncultured marine bacterium. RNAcentral describes it as "partial 16S ribosomal RNA". It matches the Rfam family "Bacterial small subunit ribosomal RNA". The record is from RNAcentral.